GAGGCAGCAGUGGGGAAUAUUGGACAAUGGGCGCAAGCCUGAUCCAGCCAUGCCGCGUGAGUGAUGAAGGCCUUAGGGUUGUAAAGCUCUUUCACCGGAGAAGAUAAUGACGGUAUCCGGAGAAGAAGCCCCGGCUAACUUCGUGCCAGCAG
RNAcentral lists this ribosomal RNA (152 nucleotides) under uncultured Rhizobium sp. RNAcentral describes it as "partial 16S ribosomal RNA". It matches the Rfam family "Bacterial small subunit ribosomal RNA", at positions 345 to 514 of the family's 1533-position model. Lineage: Bacteria; Pseudomonadati; Pseudomonadota; Alphaproteobacteria; Hyphomicrobiales; Rhizobiaceae. The record is from RNAcentral.